GCUAAAGUGGUGUAGUGGGAGCAUGUCCCGUGGCGAUCUUUCAGAUCGUUAGGUACCCUUACUUAAGGGGGCGGGAGACCCGGGUUCGAUUCCCGGCUUUAGAU
Non-coding RNA from Astrocystis sublimbata, 104 nucleotides. Lineage: Eukaryota; Fungi; Ascomycota; Sordariomycetes; Xylariales; Xylariaceae. The record is from the annotation of a GenBank genome assembly.